AACGAACGCUGGCGGCAUGCCUAACACAUGCAAGUCGAACGAACCCUUCGGGGUUAGUGGCGCACGGGUGCGUAACGCGUGGGAAUCUGCCCUUUGCUCCGGAAUACCUCAGGGAAACUUGUGCUAAUACCGGAUGAUGUCUUCGGACCAAAGAUUUAUCGGCAAGGGAUGAGCCCGCGUAGGAUUAGGUAGUUGGUGGGGUAAAGGCCUACCAAGCCGACGAUCCUUAGCUGGUCUGAGAGGAUGAUCAGCCACACUGGGACUGAGACACGGCCCAGACUCCUACGGGAGGCAGCAGUGGGGAAUAUUGGACAAUGGGCGCAAGCCUGAUCCAGCAAUGCCGCGUGAGUGAUGAAGGCCCUCGGGUCGUAAAGCUCUUUUACCAGGGAUGAUAAUGACAGUACCUGGAGAAUAAGCUCCGGCUAACUCCGUGCCAGCCGCCGCAGUAA
This 449-nucleotide ribosomal RNA is filed under the name uncultured bacterium. RNAcentral's name for it is "partial 16S ribosomal RNA". It matches the Rfam family "Bacterial small subunit ribosomal RNA", at positions 29 to 523 of the family's 1533-position model. The record is from RNAcentral.